GUCAACAUUCAUUCUCACAUUGGGCCUGAGAUAUUCAUUCUCACUUUGGGGCUGAGCUCAGGUUUGAGCUGAUAUCAAAUGGAUUAGGCCCAAUGUUGAAGAUAAUAUGGAAGCCUAAUAUUCCUCUUAUCUUUUAUUUUAUUUUUGCAAUUAGUUACACUUCAUUCAAUAAGAAAUGGACAGUUGUAUAGUUAGUUACAGAAUAGAUGCUUUUCAUUUUGUAUAAAUAUAUGACCUUGUACAGUGAUGGAUUCAUUCAGAAAUAAAGGAAAGGAAAUUUAUACAUUGUGAGCUCUUAAUUUUCUCAUGGUAUCAGAGCAAAUCUGAUCUUUUCUUCUUCUCCAUAGUAUUCACUCUUCCUUCUUCUUCUUCCUUUCAUUUUCUGAAUAAUGACUGGUGUUCAGAUACCUCUUUCUCAAACUACUGAAAGUUUUGAAGUAGCUAUUGUAAACAAUACAGUAGAUGCUUCACAUGCUUUCUAUAUCUACCCUUCAGAUAUUCCAGGCAUGAAACUUGUAUCUACUAUUUUUGACAGUAGAAGCUAUGGUGGCUGGAGAAGGGCUGUGAUUAUUGCUCUCUCAGCUAAGAACAAACUAGGAUUCAUUGAUGGAUCUCUAGAAGUUCCAGCUAGUCGAAAAUGAAAAAAGCUUAGUCAAGAUGCAAUGAUAUGGUGUUGUCUUGGUUGCUAAAUUCUCUUUCAAAAGAAAUUGUUGAAUCAAUUUUGUACUCUCAAAGUGCCAAAGUUUUGUGGUCAGAUCUAGAAGAUAGAUUUGGUCAAGCAAAUAGUGCUAAGUUAUUUCAACUUCAAAAGGAUCUUAAUGCUGUUGUUCAAGGAAAUUCCAGCAUAUCUGCUUAUUUUACUAAGAUGAAAAGUUUAUGGGAUGAACUAGAUGCUUUAAGCACUUUUUCUGCUUGUUCUUGUAAUUGUACCUGUGGUGCAAAGGAAAAGGGAUUUAAGGCUCAUCAAGAUGAAAGGCUACUCCAUUUUUUAAUGGGUUUGAAUGAUAUUUUCUUAGGUAUUAGAAGCAAUAUCUUGUUAUCUGCACCUUUACCCACUAUUGGUCAAGCUUACUCUCUUGUAAUUCAGGAUGAAAAACAGAGAGAAAUCUAUGUUGCUCCUGCUUAUCCAGGAGAUUCAACAUCAUUUCUAGUAGGUAAUGCAAAGGAAAGGAAGAACAAUGAGUAUAAGUCUAAUCAAGGAAAUUAUGCCAAGAAAUCUUCAUUGGUGUGUAAUUACUGUAAGAAAACAGGACAUACUAUUGACCAAUGCUACAAGAUCCAUGGGUUCCCUGAUGAUUUUAAGUUUACUAAACCUAAGAGGUACCAAAAGGGACCUGUUGCUGGAAAUGUUUUUAGCACAGGGGAAGCAUCACAACAAGGAAAUUCUGAUCAUGCAGCUUUGAACAGUCUAUCACCAGAAAAUGUUAGUCAACUACUAGGACUGCUGCAAAAGAUGAAUAAAAAAGAUCAAGCUGAAUCAUCUGCAAAUAUAAUAUCCUCUGGUAUAACUAAGUCUCUUAAAUCUCAUGCUUGUCUACUUAAAAUUGAUAAAUGUUCUUGGAUACUAGAUAGUGGAGCUUCUGAGCAUAUUACUUCUGAUAGAAGUUUCUUCUCUAAUAUUAAUCCUCUUACUGACCCUAUAAAUGUCACUCUUCCUAAUUCUCAUAAAGUCAAUGUAACUCAUACAAGUUCUGUCCAACUCUUUUCUGAUCUUAUUUUAGAAAAUGUGCUCUAUAUUCCCUCUUUUAAGUUCAAUCUUAUAUCCAUUCACAAGUUGUGCAGACAACUACAGAAAUCCAUUCUUUUUACCCCUAAUUCUUGUUUGAUUUUGCAGGGCCCUUCAGUGAAGAGCCCUCAUGUGCUUGGUAAGGAAAAAAAAGGUUUAUAUAUUCUCAAGAUCAGUGAUCCAGCUGUUGGUACAAACAAUCCUACCAUUUCCAAGUUUAAUAGUUUCUCUUUUUCUACUUUUCUAGCAGAUGUCUUUACUUCUAGUUCUAGCUAUUUUGAUUCCAAUGUAAAAGAAAAGAUGUGGCACUAUAGAUUAGGCCAUAUGCCAAUGAGUAAUAUGAAGAAAGUUUUUCCUAUUUCUACAUCUUGUUCCAAAUUUUCUUCUCCUUGUAUUAUUUGUCAUAUGGCUAGACAGUCAAAGUUACCUUUUCCAUCUAGCAAUAUUUCCACUAUCACUGUUUUUGAGCUAAUUCAUGUUGACACUUGGGGGCCUUAUAAAACUGCUACUCACAAUGGUUUUAGAUACUUCAUUACCAUUGUAGAUGAUUUUAGUAGAGCAACAUGGACAUAUCUUCUUAGCAUCAAGUCUAAUAUUUUUACUAUCCUUCAAUCUUUCAUUCAUAUGGUGGAAAGGCAAUUCAAUUCAAUAAUAAAAAUAAUUAGAACUGAUAAUGCUUUUGAAUUGGGUAGUGGUAAAUUACAAUCUGAAUUUUUCAUUUCCAAGGGAAUUAUCCAUCAAACUACUUGUGUCCACACUCCUCAACAAAAUGGGAUUGUAGAAAGAAAACACAAACAUUUGUUAGAAACCUCAAGAGCCCUUUUAUAUCAGUCUCAUCUUCCUAUUAGCUAUUGGGGUGAAUGCUUACUAACAGCAACUUAUCUCAUCAACAAAUUUUCCUCUAGUGUUUUACAUUUCAAAACACCUUUUGAAAUCUUGUUUAAAACUAAACCUAUUUACUCUCACUUAAAAUGCUUUGGAUGUCUUUGUUUUGUGUCUACUUUACCUAUUCACAGAAGUAAGUUUGAUCCAAAAGCUUGUCCUUGUGUUUUUAUAGGAUAUCCUUAUGGGAAAAAGGGAUACAAGGUCAUGAAUCUUCAAACUAAGAAAAUAUCAAUCUCAAGGGAUGUGGUUUUUCAUGAAGAGUAUUUUCCCUUUUCUAAACAUGUGCCUUCUACCAGUUAUUUCCCUUCUAAUUCUUUACCUAAUUUGUCUGUUACUUUUCCUUUCCCUCCAAAUUCUCCUGUUAAUCCUUGUUCAGAUCUUACUGAUAAUGCUAUACUUUCUUAUCAUAGUUGUGAUCCUCCUGAGGAUGUGUCUCCUGAUCCUCCUAUUUCUGAUUCCCAGAAUUUCUCAUAUGAUAAUUCUUCUAUUUUUUCUACUCCUUCACCUAUUGUUGAGACUCUUCAAAGGAAAUCCACUAGGAACCAUAAGAAGCCUGUUUAUUUAGAAUCAUAUGUCUGCAAUGCUCUGCAUUUUACAGAUGUUUCUUCUAGUUGUUUCUUGAGUCAUGUUACUCCUGAGCACUUAUCUUUUAGUGAUUUGUCUUCUACCAAUCAAAUUAUGCUCAAUUCCAUUUCUAGUAUACAAGAACCUAUCAAUUAUAUGCAAGCUGCACAUCAUCCAGGUUGGCAAAAAGCAAUAGACAAUGAACUUUCAGCUUUGGAGCUUAACAAAACUUGGGAUAUUGUUGUCUUACCCAAUGGUAAAAGAGCUUUACCUUCUAAAUGGGUUUUUAAAGUCAAACAACAUGCUGAUGGCAGUAUAGAAAGACUAAAGGCUAGAUUGGUGAUCAGAGGAGAUGUUCAAAAGGAAGGGGUAGAUUAUCAGGUGUCUUUUAGCUACAUCAGUUAAGCAUGGUUGGGGUAUUUUCCAAUUAGAUGUUAACAAUGCUUUUUUACAUGGUGAUUUAAAUGAAGAGGUGUAUAUGAAGUUUCCUCCAGGUGUUUCACCUCUUACUUCUGACCAUGUAUGUCUGCUUAAGAAGUCCAUUUAUGGACUUAAACAAGCAUCCAAACAAUGGUAUGCUAAGUUGACUGAUGCUCUUAAUUUCAAAGGAUUUUGUCAUUCUUUGAAUGAUUAUUCACUGUUCGUUAAAAAAUCAGACAAUUCUAUUUCUAUUGUUGUUGUUUAUGUGGAUGAUAUCCUUUUGACAGGAAAUAAUGAAGCAGAAUUACACAGUUUAAAGAGUUUCUUAGACACAGAAUUCAAGAUUAAGGAUCUUGGUUCUUUACAUUUUUUUCUUGGAAUGGAGGUUGUUCGAGAACCUCAAGGUCUGCUUAUUUCACAAAGGAAGUUCACAUUGGAUUUUUUGCGAGAAUUUGAUUCUCCACAUCUAAGUCCUGUUUCUUGUCCAUUAGAUCCAACUAUCAAGUUAUUGGCUAAUCAUGGAGAGCCUAUCACCGAUCCAACUUUCUAUCGACAUUUAUUGGGUAAAUUGAACUACCUGACUAAUACAAGGCCUGAUCUUUCUUUCACUGUGCAGCACCUAAUUCAAUACAUGCAGGAUCCUCGUCAGCCACACCUAACUGCUGCUUUGAAGGUGCUACGUUAUUUGCUGAAAGAUCCAGGUCUUGGUCUAUUUUUCUCCUCAUAUUCCUCCUUCAAACUGACAGCCUUUUGUGAUUCCGAUUGGGGUACCUGUCCAGAUUCACGCAGAUCAGUUAGAGGCUACUAUAUUUCUCUUGGAACUUCUCCUCUUUCUUGGAAAUCGAAGAAACAAUCUUCCAUUUCCCUCAGUUCUGCUGAAGCUGAAUAUCGCUCAAUGAGAAGGGUUGUUGCUGAACUCACCUGGUUAGUUCGUCUGUUCGAAGACCUCUCUGUUCAUGUGCCUCUUCUGGUGCCUCUUCAUUCGGAUAGUCUUGCAGCUAUACACAUCACGAAGAAUCCGGUAUUCCAUGAACGGACGAAGCACGUCGAACUUGACUGUCACUUUGUCCGUCAACAAUACCUAGCCGGACUCAUCUCCUUGUCGUAUGUUCGAUCUACUUCACAACUAGCCGACAUUUUUACGAAAUCUCUUACAGGACAUGUUCAUCAUAAGCUUCUUGGCAAGUUGGGUGUUUCUAAUAGCCCUCAAACUUGAGGUAGGGUGUCAACAUUCAUUCUCACAUUGGGCCUGAGAUAUUCAUUCUCACUUUGGGCCUGAGCUCAGGUUUGAGUUGAUAUCAAAUGGAUUAGGCCCAAUGUUGAAGAUAAUAUGGAAGCCUAAUAUUCCUCUUAUCUUUUAUUUUAUUUUUGCAAUUAGUUACACUUCAUUCAAUAAGAAAUGGACAGCUGUAUAGUUAGUUACAAAAUAGAUGCUUUUCAUUUUGUAUAAACAUAGGACCUUGUACAGUGAUGGAUUCAUUC
RNAcentral lists this long non-coding RNA (5077 nucleotides) under Solanum tuberosum (potato). Its description in RNAcentral is "long non-coding RNA (STUB_LNC005988)". The record is from RNAcentral. Lineage: Eukaryota; Viridiplantae; Streptophyta; Magnoliopsida; Solanales; Solanaceae.